CAGCAUAUUCCCAAGGUCUCCGGCUGCUUGCGGCCGAGGGAUCUCCAACUGCAUCCGAGGGCAACUAGGAGAGACUUUGGCAACCCAGGUCAGCAGAGCACCUGCAGCUGCCACUCGACUUUCCUGUAAUG
RNAcentral lists this small nucleolar RNA (131 nucleotides) under Dasypus novemcinctus (nine-banded armadillo). RNAcentral describes it as "Small nucleolar RNA SNORA44 (ENSDNOG00000038745.1)". It matches the Rfam family "Small nucleolar RNA SNORA44". From Rfam's summary of the family: ACA44 is a member of the H/ACA class of snoRNA that guide the sites of modification of uridines to pseudouridines. The record is from RNAcentral. Lineage: Eukaryota; Metazoa; Chordata; Mammalia; Cingulata; Dasypodidae.